Long non-coding RNA from Cebus imitator (Panamanian white-faced capuchin), 99 nucleotides. RefSeq lists it as uncharacterized. The transcript is spliced from 3 exons. The record is from RefSeq and is a predicted model, not a curated record. Lineage: Eukaryota; Metazoa; Chordata; Mammalia; Primates; Cebidae.
UAUCCUACUCUUUAGUAGAAGUGAUUUAUUUUUCUGUAGCUAUAAUGAGAAACAUUUCUUCUAUUUUUUUCUAAGGUAGGAUUCCCAAAGCUAAGCCCU